Molecule: transfer RNA, 92 nt
Filed under: Clostridia bacterium
Lineage: Bacteria; Bacillati; Bacillota; Clostridia
Description: tRNA-Ser
Rfam family: tRNA
About the family: Transfer RNA (tRNA) molecules are approximately 80 nucleotides in length. Their secondary structure includes four short double-helical elements and three loops (D, anti-codon, and T loops).
Source: RNAcentral
GGAGAAGUACCCAAGAGGCCGAAGGGGCUCCCCUGCUAAGGGAGUAGACGGAGUGAAUCCGUGCGAGAGUUCAAAUCUCUCCUUCUCCGCCA